CAGAACUGCCAGUAUGCUGUUCCCCAGUUUAACAUAAUAGAUAGAUAGAUGUUUUAUUUAUUUUUUAUGUUAGCUGACGUAUGUCGUCAUUGCCGCGACGUGUCUUCUCAUUGGUUACGACCUUCUGGGAGGAGCCAAGUGGAGAAACGAAGCCUGAAAACAGAUUUGAACCAUUGCUUCUGUUUGCUGGUCCUGUGAGAAAAUGUCGUUACCGAAGAGGCAUGGAUAUUAAAACUAAAAGCUAAAACAAUUUCUGGAGCAGUUUUUGUCAAACACGAGUGAGACUGGACGCUGAACACAUCUGCAGCGCAAAGGUUUACUGAUUCAGCUGCUGCAGCCUGGACAGAAUCACCAGCUCUCACCUUACAAACCAAACAGGUGUCACCACUUUGUCUAUGAUCGCAGAGAGUCUUCGUACAUUGAAGAAAUUCUUUCAGACCAAGACAGAGG
Molecule: long non-coding RNA, 450 nt
Organism: Lates calcarifer (barramundi perch)
Lineage: Eukaryota; Metazoa; Chordata; Actinopteri; Centropomidae
Exons: 3
Source: RefSeq, a predicted model, not a curated record